This 178-nucleotide antisense RNA is filed under the name Pleurocapsa sp. PCC 7327. RNAcentral's name for it is "Antisense RNA which regulates isiA expression". It matches the Rfam family "Antisense RNA which regulates isiA expression". The record is from Rfam by way of RNAcentral. Lineage: Bacteria; Bacillati; Cyanobacteriota; Cyanophyceae; Pleurocapsales; Pleurocapsaceae.
GAUAGCCAAAAAUAACACUUGGAUUGAGAGUGGGAUUGGUGACUCCUCGCACGUUCUCAAUUGCUGGGUCGUAGAUGCCCCCAAAAAACAUCGCUUUCGCUACCAAUAGCAGCGCCCCCAAUCCCAACAAGAUUAGGUGAAUGCCAAGAAUAGUAGUCAUCUUGUUGCUGUCUUUCCA